GCCUUCGUGGUGUAAUGGUCAGUACACUUGGAGCGUAUUUGAGAGGUCCGAGGUUCGAGUCCUGGCGAAGGCG
Molecule: transfer RNA, 73 nt
Filed under: Stegodyphus mimosarum
Lineage: Eukaryota; Metazoa; Arthropoda; Arachnida; Araneae; Eresidae
Rfam family: tRNA
About the family: Transfer RNA (tRNA) molecules are approximately 80 nucleotides in length. Their secondary structure includes four short double-helical elements and three loops (D, anti-codon, and T loops).
Source: Rfam by way of RNAcentral